This 81-nucleotide non-coding RNA is filed under the name Priestia megaterium. Its description in RNAcentral is "Bacillus megaterium Glycine sequence". It matches the Rfam family "Glycine riboswitch aptamer". From Rfam's summary of the family: This family represents the bacterial glycine riboswitch. Glycine riboswitches usually consist of two metabolite-binding aptamers domains with similar structures in tandem. The aptamers cooperatively bind glycine to regulate the expression of downstream genes. RNAcentral also lists the same sequence under 1 other name. Lineage: Bacteria; Bacillati; Bacillota; Bacilli; Caryophanales; Bacillaceae. The record is from RNAcentral.
GGAGCAGCUUCUGGAGAGAUCGCGAUAGUUUCGCGACGCCGAAGGGUUCACAAUCUCAGGCAAAAGGACAGAAGAGUACCG